AUUGAACGCUGGCGGCAGGCCUAACACAUGCAAGUCGAGCGGAUGAAGGGAGCUUGCUCCUGGAUUCAGCGGCGGACGGGUGAGUAAUGCCUAGGAAUCUGCCUGGUAGUGGGGGAUAACGUCCGGAAACGGGCGCUAAUACCGCAUACGUCCUGAGGGAGAAAGUGGGGGAUCUUCGGACCUCACGCUAUCAGAUGAGCCUAGGUCGGAUUAGCUAGUUGGUGGGGUAAAGGCCUACCAAGGCGACGAUCCGUAACUGGUCUGAGAGGAUGAUCAGUCACACUGGAACUGAGACACGGUACAGACUACUACGGGAGGCAGCAGUGGGGAAUAUUGGACAAUGGGCGAAAGCCUGAUCCAGCCAUGCCGCGUGUGUGAAGAAGGUCUUCGGAUUGUAAAGCACUUUAAGUUGGGAGGAAGGGCAGUAAGUUAAUACCUUGCUGUUUUGACGUUACCAACAGAAUAAGCACCGGCUAACUUCGUG
Molecule: ribosomal RNA, 484 nt
Filed under: uncultured bacterium
Lineage: Bacteria
Description: partial 16S ribosomal RNA
Rfam family: Bacterial small subunit ribosomal RNA
Source: RNAcentral